Molecule: ribosomal RNA, 677 nt
Filed under: Circinella mucoroides
Lineage: Eukaryota; Fungi; Mucoromycota; Mucoromycetes; Mucorales; Lichtheimiaceae
Description: eukaryotic LSU rRNA
Rfam family: Eukaryotic large subunit ribosomal RNA
Source: RNAcentral
AAAACGGAGGAAAAGAAAAUAAGCCAAUGAGCUGAGUACUAGCGGCGAGUGAACAGGGAAAAGCUCACAGUUGGAACCUAGCUGCCUUAGGUAGUUCGGAUUGUAAACUGAAAAAGUGUUAUCCAGGCUAGCCGAGUAAAAAAGUUUCUUGGAAUAGAACAUCAUGGAGGGUGAGAAUCCCGUCUUUGGCUUGAGCAUAGUCUUUUGUGUUGCACUUUAACGAGUCAGGUUGUUUGGGAAUGCAGCCUAAAGUGGGAGGUAAAUCCCUCCUAAAGCUAAAUAUUGGCGAGAGACCGAUAGCAAACAAGUACCGUGAGGGAAAGAUGAAAAGAACUUUGAAAAGAGAGUUAAACAGUAUGUGAAAUUGCUAAAAGGGAAGCGUUUGAAGACAGACUAGCUUGGUUAUAAUCAGCCUGGAUUUUUCUUGGUGUACUUGUAGCCUAUGCUUGCCAACAGCAGUUUGGUCUGGCUGAAAAAACUAGUAGUAAGGUGGCUCUCUUCGGGGAGUGUUAUAGACUAUUAGAAAAUCAGUUGGACUGGACUGAGGAAUGCAAUGCAGCUUGCCUUGGGGUGAACCAGAUUGAAUAGGAACCAUUGUUCCUUGAAGGUUUGGGUAGCUCUUCGAACUGUAUAUAGCAGUCACUAGUUGGACUUAAUGUCUUUAAACGGCCCGUCUA